Molecule: transfer RNA, 66 nt
Filed under: Pseudoechthistatus hei
Lineage: Eukaryota; Metazoa; Arthropoda; Insecta; Coleoptera; Cerambycidae
Description: tRNA-Phe
Source: RNAcentral
ACUUAAAUAGCUUAUAAGAGAGCAUAAUAUUGAAGAUAUUAAGGAAAUAGAAAUUAUUUUUAAGUA